Molecule: long non-coding RNA, 559 nt
Organism: Manis pentadactyla (Chinese pangolin)
Lineage: Eukaryota; Metazoa; Chordata; Mammalia; Pholidota; Manidae
Exons: 4
Source: RefSeq, a predicted model, not a curated record
GUCUUCACCUGGGGAUUGGAAGAGGUAGGAAUUUCUUUGGGAUGAGUUCGAGAUGAGCCCGGUUUUCCUGCCUGUCACUCUCAGAUUCAACAGUGGAAGCCACCUGGAUCACCAUUAGGAAACUGACAUCUUCCAGGAAUGCCAAAAGAAAUAGGAACACUCUUGGGAUGGUUCCAGAGGCUGCAGAAUCACAAAGUGACAGAAUUCAAGAUGAAAAGAGCCUCAGAGAUAAUGGAGUCCACCUCUGCCUCCUUUUAUUAAUGAGGAAAGUGGAGUCCAGAGAAACGAAAAGUCCAGCAUUCAGCAGUCACACCUGGGAGCCAAAUCUUACAAAUCUAAGUGCAUGAGAUCUAACACAUCAGUGACCUUGAUCGUCUUCUAUGUCAUCUCUGGUGAAGAUAUAGGCUCCCUCUCAGAUUCCAGAAUUCUGGCACUGUCCACAUUUGCCAUAAAAGCUCGUAUUUGUGAUCUUUUCAAUGCAACCCUGUGCAAAGGCCAAAACAAGAUUGUUCAGCAUUGUUCAAGUUAUAGUUCGUGAAUUAUUGCUCAGUUUUAGAAC